Molecule: long non-coding RNA, 307 nt
Organism: Serinus canaria (Common canary)
Lineage: Eukaryota; Metazoa; Chordata; Aves; Passeriformes; Fringillidae
Exons: 3
Source: RefSeq, a predicted model, not a curated record
CGGGGCAGGGCCAGGGCCAGGAAGAAGGAGUUCCUCUGGCCCAGAGAACCUGGCAGAAGGAGCUGUCUGCCUCCCAGCAAGCAGGAGGAGAUAUUGUCACUAUUGUCACCAAGCCUGCCAUCUGCUAGCUGCCAUGGAGCAGCAUGCUGCUACUGUCAGAGGUGCCACAGAGCCAGGAAGACAAAGAGAGUGUUGCUGUCUACUCAGGCAGAGGAGCAAACAUCCUGUGUUCCUGUGCAUUAGAACUUUUCCUGGACACAUCUCACUGCUGAAUGUCAACAGUAUAAACUAAAACCAGGAUCCAGCU